AGAGUUUGAUCCUGGCUCAGAACGAACGCUGGCGGCGCGCCUAAUACAUGCAAGUCGAGCGAGAAGGUGUAGCAAUACACUUGUAAAGCGGCGAACGGGUGAGGAAUGCAUGGGUAACCUACCCUCGAGUGGGGAAUAACUAGCCGAAAGGUUAGCUAAUACCGCAUACGUUUCCGGGACUUCGGUUCCGGAAAGAAAGCAAUACCGUGGGUAUUGCGCUCAUGGAUGGGCUCAUGUCCUAUCAGCUUGUUGGUGAGGUAACGGCUCACCAAGGCUCCGACGGGUAGCUGGUCUGAGAGGACGAUCAGCCACACUGGCACUGCGACACGGGCCAGACUCCUACGGGAGGCAGCAGUAAGGAAUAUUGCGCAAUGGACGAAAGUCUGACGCAGCGACGCCGCGUGGGGGAUGAAGGUCUUCGGAUUGUAAACCCCUUUCGGGAGGGAAGAUGGAGUGGGUAACCACUUGGACGGUACCUCCAGAAGCAGCCACGGCUAACUUCGUGCCAGCAGCCGCGGUAAUACGAAGGUGGCAAGCGUUGUUCGGAUUCACUGGGCGUACAGGGAGCGUAGGCGGUUGGGUAAGCCCUCCGUGAAAUCUCCGGGCCUAACCCGGAAAGUGCAGAGGGGACUGCUCAGCUAGAGGAUGGGAGAGGAGCGCGGAAUUCCCGGUGUAGCGGUGAAAUGCGUAGAGAUCGGGAGGAAGGCCGGUGGCGAAGGCGGCGCUCUGGAACAUUUCUGACGCUGAGGCUCGAAAGCGUGGGGAGCAAACAGGAUUAGAUACCCUGGGUAGUCCACGCC
RNAcentral lists this ribosomal RNA (800 nucleotides) under uncultured bacterium. RNAcentral describes it as "bacterial SSU rRNA". It matches the Rfam family "Bacterial small subunit ribosomal RNA", at positions 8 to 801 of the family's 1533-position model. The record is from RNAcentral.